UACGGAGGAUGCAAGCAUUAUCCGGAUUCAUUGGGUUUAAAGGGUGCGUAGGCGGGCUAUUAAGUCAGUGGUGAAAUCCUGCAGCUUAACUGCAGAACUGCCGUUGAUACUGAUAGUCUUGAGUUUGGUUAAGGUAGGCGGAAUGUGUAAUGUAGCGGUGAAAUGCUUAGAUAUUACACAGAACACCAAUUGCGUAGGCAGCUUACUGAGCCGACACUGACGCUGAGGCACGAAAGCGUGGGGAUCAAACA
Molecule: ribosomal RNA, 251 nt
Filed under: uncultured prokaryote
Description: partial 16S ribosomal RNA
Rfam family: Bacterial small subunit ribosomal RNA
Source: RNAcentral